RNAcentral lists this ribosomal RNA (468 nucleotides) under uncultured bacterium. RNAcentral describes it as "partial 16S ribosomal RNA". It matches the Rfam family "Bacterial small subunit ribosomal RNA", at positions 28 to 507 of the family's 1533-position model. The record is from RNAcentral.
GACGAACGCUGGCGGCGUGCUUAACACAUGCAAGUCGAACGGAAAGGCCCUGCUUUUGUGGGGUGCUCGAGUGGCGAACGGGUGAGUAACACGUGAGUAACCUGCCCUUGACUUUGGGAUAACUUCAGGAAACUGGGGCUAAUACCGGAUUGGAGCUCCUGCUGCAUGGUGGGGGUUGGAAAGUUUCGGCGGUUGGGGAUGGACUCGCGGCUUAUCAGCUUGUUGGUGGGGUAGUGGCUUACCAAGGCUUUGACGGGUAGCCGGCCUGAGAGGGUGACCGGCCACAUUGGGACUGAGAUACGGCCCAGACUCCUACGGGAGGCAGCAGUGGGGAAUAUUGCACAAUGGGCGGAAGCCUGAUGCAGCAACGCCGCGUGCGGGAUGACGGCCUUCGGGUUGUAAACCGCUUUCGCCUGUGACGAAGCGUGAGUGACGGUAAUGGGUAAAGAAGCACCGACUAACUACGUG